AAUAAGUGUAGUUCUGUUCAUGUCCAGCGUUUGACCGUUCGUCUUAUUUGAAUUUUUUUUAUGAUUAGUAUUUUUAUUGUUACUAGAUGAUAAAACAUGAAUAGUACUUUAUGUGUUGCUAAUUUUUUUUAAUGUUUUCAUAAAUUUUUCAAAUAAGACGGACGGUCGAACGUUGCAUACGGAUUCCCACGGCUGCACUUAUU
Non-coding RNA from Oryza meridionalis, 203 nucleotides. NCBI's taxonomy places the organism in Eukaryota, Viridiplantae, Streptophyta, Magnoliopsida, Poales, Poaceae. The record is from Rfam.